Molecule: ribosomal RNA, 327 nt
Filed under: uncultured eukaryote
Lineage: Eukaryota
Description: partial 18S ribosomal RNA
Rfam family: Eukaryotic small subunit ribosomal RNA
Source: RNAcentral
CCCUUAGAUGUUCUGGGCCGCACGCGCGCUACACUGACGAAUGCAACGAGCUUAUAACCUUGGCCGAAAGGUCUGGGUAAUCUCCAAAUUUCGUCGUGAUGGGGAUAGAUUAUUGCAAUUAUUAAUCUUCAACGAGGAAUGCCUAGUAAGCGCAAGUCAUCAGCUUGCGUUGAUUACGUCCCUGCCCUUUGUACACACCGCCCGUCGCUCCUACCGAUUGAAUGGUCCGGUGAAGCGUUCGGACCGUGGCCUUUGGACGGUUCGCCGUCUGUUGGCUGCGGGAAGUUCGUUAAACCUUAUCAUUUAGAGAAAGGAGAAGUUGUAACA